GGGCGCCCCACCCCCUGCCGUGCGCGGGCCCCGGCCGUUGGCUCCCUCGCGGCUCGGCGGGCCGGUGCUCGGGGGUCGGUGCCGCCAAGCGCCCGCCCCACGGCGAAGCUUUUCACUUUGCUGAUGCAGGAGGAAGGAAGCAGCAGAAAUAUCCCAGGUCUGAGGGAGCAUCUGGAGCUCAGAGGCAGCUACACAGGGUGUGAGACAGAUGUAUGACUGCUGCAAUAGUGUCAUCUAAUCAUCUCACUCUCAUUUGUUGUCACACAGGGCCAUGAGCAGAAUCCAUAGCAUCAGCAGAAAAGGAAGUGGCUUCCAAAGCAGUGUCACCAGGAGCAUCAGCAAUUUCAGUGGGGAAAGAGCAACAAAAAUAGCAGCUCCAAUGACAGAUGUAUCAGUAAGUGCAGGAUCAUCCGUAAAAGCUAACUCUGUAAUGCAGCAG
Molecule: long non-coding RNA, 439 nt
Organism: Columba livia (rock pigeon)
Lineage: Eukaryota; Metazoa; Chordata; Aves; Columbiformes; Columbidae
Exons: 3
Source: RefSeq, a predicted model, not a curated record